CCCAAACCCAAUGUGAACGUUACCAAACUGUUGCCUCGGCGGGAUCUCUGCCCCGGGUGCGUCGCAGCCCCGGACCAAGGCGCCCGCCGGAGGACCAACCAAAACUCUUUUUGUAUACCCCCUCGCGGGUUUUUUAUAAUCUGAGCCUUCUCGGCGCCUCUCGUAGGCGUUUCGAAAAUGAAUCAAAACUUUCAACAACGGAUCUCUUGGUUCUGGCAUCGAUGAAGAACGCAGCGAAAUGCGAUAAGUAAUGUGAAUUGCAGAAUUCAGUGAAUCAUCGAAUCUUUGAACGCACAUUGCGCCCGCCAGUAUUCUGGCGGGCAUGCCUGUCCGAGCGUCAUUUCAACCCUCGAACCCCUCCGGGGGGUCGGCGUUGGGGAUCGGCCCUCCCUUAGCGGGUGGCCGUCUCCGAAAUACAGUGGCGGUCUCGCCGCAGCCUCUCCUGCGCAGUAGUUUGCACACUCGCAUCGGGAGCGCGGCGCGUCCACAGCCGUUAAACACCCAACUUCUGAAAUGUUGACCUCGGAU
Molecule: ribosomal RNA, 528 nt
Filed under: Trichoderma harzianum
Lineage: Eukaryota; Fungi; Ascomycota; Sordariomycetes; Hypocreales; Hypocreaceae
Description: eukaryotic LSU rRNA
Rfam family: 5.8S ribosomal RNA (bases 187-340)
Source: RNAcentral